AACAAGCUAGUACGACAGGGACAGAAAUAUAUAAGAACACAAACAUAUAUAUUUUCACACGAACAUCGUUAACACAGAGACUGGAAAUUAAAUGUUCAUACAUCUUACUUCUACAGAGAGUAACAUCGAUAGUAAAUUCACAAGAAACAAUAUGAAUUAUUAAAAGCAACUAGCUGACAAUUAGUCACACACACAGAACAUAUAUGAUUUGCAUUACACAAGACACAAUACUAUCACUAAAAUGAUCAACAUCACAGAAAUACGAAACCACAUGAAACAUAUAUCACGAACAUAUAUGUCACAGAAAUACUCAUAAGCAGAUUCUGAUAGAUCAAUCACCUCCCAAAUUAAGAAGGCAUCAACAAGUCAGGUCACAUAACAAGUACUAUAUUAUACCAGUACGGAGCUAAACAAAUAACAAGUGAUUAGAACUAGUCAAGUCUGAAUAUUACACAACCCUGAACAUUACACAACCCUGAACAUUACACAAUUCUGAACAUUACACUACUCAAAGUUACAGAAAUUUGAGAGAGAGAGAACAGCAGCAGGUUUUGGGAAAGGGGGAGGAGGAGCAGCAGGUUUUUGGAAGAUGAGGAGCAGCAGGGGCGUUUGAGAGAAGGUGCAGCAAGAGAGAGGAGCAGCGGCAGUUCAGCAGAGAGGUUGAGGGAAGGAGCAGCAACAGUUGCGGUUCAGAGCAGCAGCAGCAGCGUGGAGGGUUGAGAAAAAAGCUUCAGCCGAGGCCAAGCAGGGUCCUGAGAGGAGAAACAGAGGAGGAGCAGUAGCGAGAUGGGCGAAGGGAGCAGCAGGAAGGCGAUGGGGAAGAAGAGAAGGGCAGUAGGGAAGAGCAGCAGCAGAUGGCAGGGUCGCGCGGGGCACCAGACACCUUGUCUGGUCGGCCGCGCCGUGGAUGCGAUGGCGCUGGAGGUUGGCAGGAUGGAUGGUAUGGUGCUGGUGGUGCGUGGUGGAGAUGGUCGUGGCUGGCGGCGCCGAUGGAUGGAUGGCGCGGCUGCUGGUGGUGGAUGGUGCGGCGGCGCUGAUGGUGGAUGGAGAUGGGUGAUGAGGCGGGAGGCGCACCACCACGCCGGCCUGGCUGUGGCGGCGGCCGGAGGUGGAGAAGGAGGGUGAGGGAAAGAGAUACCAGGCCCGAUUUGGAAUGAGGUAGCCGCUAGGGAUUUUGAUCCCCUCACGGCUGAUCUGGACAUUUUCACAUUGACCCUCCUGCUUUCUUCUUUCUUCGCAAGAAGAUCCCUUCUCUUCUUUAGCUAGCCCCUGGUAACUUCUUUUCUUCAUUCUCAGGUCCCUUUCUUCACUUCUUUCCUGCCCUUCUCUCUUCUCAAUAGCCAAUUCAUCCAAAU
RNAcentral lists this long non-coding RNA (1355 nucleotides) under Triticum aestivum (bread wheat). RNAcentral describes it as "long non-coding RNA (TAES_LNC008574)". The record is from RNAcentral. Lineage: Eukaryota; Viridiplantae; Streptophyta; Magnoliopsida; Poales; Poaceae.